Molecule: long non-coding RNA, 363 nt
Organism: Rhopalosiphum maidis (corn leaf aphid)
Lineage: Eukaryota; Metazoa; Arthropoda; Insecta; Hemiptera; Aphididae
Exons: 3
Source: RefSeq, a predicted model, not a curated record
UCGUAUUUACAUUUAACUUUCAACUGUUGAUUGUCAAUUUUUCAAUUAUUUUGAAAUAAGAAUGAAGUUUCACUGUUAGUUUUUGUUAGAUUUUUUCCAUUUCUGAAUUCUUCAGUGUUUUUCACGUACUAGUUGUCAUCUACAGAUUUUCGUUCUCCUAAUUGCUUGUAUGGAAGUACAGCAGAUCACUGCAGGCAUGCUGAGACAUUAAUUCACAUUUCUACCAUUUGGGAAUGAAUGUUACAACAUCCUUCAUUGAAAAUGGACCAGAAGAUACUGAUAAUAAUAAUGGUAUUAUGCAAUAUUGCAGUGCAGCAGUUCACCCAAGGCUUGCUGAGACAGGAAUUUGCAUUCAUACCACUU